This 64-nucleotide transfer RNA is filed under the name Psylliodes chlorophana. RNAcentral describes it as "tRNA-Cys". The record is from RNAcentral. RNAcentral also lists the same sequence under 1 other name. Lineage: Eukaryota; Metazoa; Arthropoda; Insecta; Coleoptera; Chrysomelidae.
AGUCUUAUAGUCAUAUUUAUGAUAUUAAAUUGCAAAUUUAAAGGAAAAUUAAGUUUUAAGGCUU